Molecule: non-coding RNA, 158 nt
Organism: Dietzia timorensis
Lineage: Bacteria; Bacillati; Actinomycetota; Actinomycetes; Mycobacteriales; Dietziaceae
Source: Rfam
CGACCACGAUGUGGACGCGGCCCGCGGCACCGAGCGCCAUGAGAGCGCAAGAGGGAACCUGGUGCGAAUCCAGGACUGUCCCGCAACGGUAUGGGGCGAAUAUGCGAACGAAGAUCGCCGCCUCGAGUCCGAUUACCUGCCGAUUGUGCUGGGUGCGC